Molecule: unclassified non-coding RNA, 232 nt
Filed under: soil metagenome
Description: partial internal transcribed spacer 1
Source: RNAcentral
UUGAAUUUUAAUGAAGAGUUUGGUUGUAGCUGGCCCAUUCAUUUGGGCAUGUGCACACCUUCCUCUUUCAUCCCACACACACCUGUGAACCUGUGAGACAGAGAUGGGGAAUUUACUUGCUGCCUUUUGGAAUACAAAGGCAAUAGGUUAUUGGACCCCCCCUCUGUCUACUCAAUUAAUAUAAACUCAAUUUAUUUUAAAACGAAUGUAAUGGAUGUAACACAUCUCAUAC